This is a long non-coding RNA of Mauremys reevesii (Reeves's turtle), 735 nucleotides long. RefSeq lists it as uncharacterized. The record is from RefSeq and is a predicted model, not a curated record. NCBI's taxonomy places the organism in Eukaryota, Metazoa, Chordata, Testudines, Geoemydidae. The transcript has 4 exons.
GCAAUCCCAGCGGCACAGUAAAGUGCACACAACCCUCCCAGCUGUGAAUCAAAGCCUGCAGUAACUAAACAACACCAUCUAGAAAGCUGACAUUAGAAGCUCAACUUUGUUUGGGGUUAUAAACACAACUCCCUCCUCCACAGAGCCCACAUUUUCAGAGACCUGCCCUCCUCGAUAUCUAUGCAGGGGCCUUCCCUUCACCCUGCCUCAGCUGACAUUGUGUUACCCAGUUCAACAUUCAACCCACUAGAGGUCUCCAUAACACCAAGCAAACCAGAAAAUGAACAUCAUGAAGUCAGAGGUGAUCAAACUCAGAAGAGAGAAAGAGAGACAGGCUGUUUGAGAGUAGGAGCAGCAAGGCAUAGACAGUAGCCUGGGAGGUGGAUGCAGAAGGAAGGCUGGGUGCAGCACACAAUUGGAAAGCUGUGAAUGAAAGCUGAUAGGUGGGAUGCAGAGAAUCAGAAGUUGAUAUAAAGAAGAGGAAAAAGAAAAUGUCAAAAUUCAACAUUUCACAAACCUUUCAGUCUGAUAAGCCCAGGAACUGUCCUGAAUGGAAUGAACCCUUCUCCGUAUUUGGACUGCAAUGAAUUUGGACACAGAGCAGCAAAACACAGGUCAAAGGAAUGAACAAGUGAACAAAUGGAUCAGGUGUGGAAAAGAGUGGUCUUCAGUUACCAGGAAAUAAAAAGGUCUUUUGUCUCUGUAGUCAGCUUUAAAGGUCUUCAGGGAAGGGGG